RNAcentral lists this ribosomal RNA (255 nucleotides) under uncultured bacterium. Its description in RNAcentral is "partial 16S ribosomal RNA". It matches the Rfam family "Bacterial small subunit ribosomal RNA", at positions 524 to 776 of the family's 1533-position model. The record is from RNAcentral.
UACGGAGGGGGCUAGCGUUGUUCGGAAUUACUGGGCGUAAAGCGCACGUAGGCGGCUUUGUAAGUUAGAGGUGAAAGCCCAGGGCUUAACCCUGGAAUUGCCUUUAAGACUGCAUCGCUAGAAUUGUGGAGAGGUAAGUGGAAUUCCGAGUGUAGAGGUGAAAUUCGUAGAUAUUCGGAAGAACACCAGUGGCGAAGGCGACUUACUGGACACAUAUUGACGCUGAGGUGGACGAAAGCGUGGGGAGCAAACAGG